AUCCAGCUGAAGAGCCUUAAAUAGGACGAAACGCGCGUCAAACUGGAU
This 48-nucleotide non-coding RNA is filed under the name Schistosoma margrebowiei. The record is from RNAcentral. Lineage: Eukaryota; Metazoa; Platyhelminthes; Trematoda; Strigeidida; Schistosomatidae.